UCCGAGUGCGAGGGCAUACAGUCCUCGCUAUUAUGUACCGUAGGGUGGUACACGACCAAGAGCUGGGCAAGACCGGUGCCAGCCGCCGCGGUAAUACCGGCAGCUCGAGUGAUGGCCGAUUUUAUUGGGCCUAAAGCGUCCGUAGCUGGCCCAGCAAGUCCGUCGGGAAAUCCACUCGCCUAACGAGUGGGCGUCCGGCGGAAACUACAGGGCUUGGGACCGGAAGACUUGAGGGGUACGUCUGGGGUAGGAGUGAAAUCCUGUAAUCCUGGACGGACCGCCGAUAGCGAAAGCACCUCAAGACGACGGAUCCGACAGUGAGGGACGAAAGCUAGGGUCUCGAACUGGAUUAGAUACCCGGGUAGUCCUAGCUGUAAACGAUGUUCGCUAGAUGUGGCACAGGCUACGUGCCUGUGCUGUGUCGUAGGGAAGCCGAGAAGCGAACCGCCUGGGAAGUACGUCCGCAAGGAUGAAACUUAAAGGAAUUGGCGGGGGAGCACUACAACCGGAGGAGCCUGCGGUUUAAUUGGAUUCAACGCCGG
This 542-nucleotide ribosomal RNA is filed under the name uncultured archaeon. Its description in RNAcentral is "bacterial SSU rRNA". It matches the Rfam family "Archaeal small subunit ribosomal RNA", at positions 380 to 921 of the family's 1478-position model. The record is from RNAcentral.